Lampris incognitus (smalleye Pacific opah) is the source of this 147-nucleotide long non-coding RNA. RefSeq lists it as uncharacterized. The transcript has 4 exons. Lineage: Eukaryota; Metazoa; Chordata; Actinopteri; Lampriformes; Lampridae. The record is from RefSeq and is a predicted model, not a curated record.
AGCGCAAGAAAUAUGCAAGUGACUCCAAGUCAGACACUGAGAAUGAGAAGCCAAAGACUGCAAGCCAGCGAGAGAAAAGCUCUUCAAAUGACAAGGAGAAUGCUUCUCCAUGGGACAAAUCCAGAUCUUGGAGAAAAACCAUCAGGG